Pelmatolapia mariae (spotted tilapia) is the source of this 2531-nucleotide long non-coding RNA. RefSeq lists it as uncharacterized. NCBI's taxonomy places the organism in Eukaryota, Metazoa, Chordata, Actinopteri, Cichliformes, Cichlidae. The record is from RefSeq and is a predicted model, not a curated record. The transcript is spliced from 4 exons.
GAGGAGUCGAGUAGAGAGAGCUGCUUUUUCAUGAAACGGGAGUAAAUUAGUGAACUUAGAGGAGAGAAACAAACUAAAGUAUCGAUCAUAUACCACUACCAACGUUUGGAUCGAUAUCUGCAUCGAUCUGCCCACCCUUGUCUCCUGGAUCGUAGCUGAGAUCAGCGUGAACCACGUGGGUCUCUGCUCCCUGAUCUGUUUCCUGUGUUUGGAAAGAGUUCCAGCUUCAUCACGGAGUUUCUCUCGGUUUGUGGGCUCAUCUAAAGCUGAGUAACAGGAGGAGAAGAGUCUGGUGGAGCAGCAGAGGAACAAUUUCAGCCAUUUGGACUCAGCUCAGCCACUACAGAGGAAACAAUGACUUCAAUACAGGAGGACCAACAUGGAGCGAGAAGUCAGCGCUCUCAGGAGGCUGACGAACUUCACAGACAAAAAAGAGAAAAGAAAUACACCUGUGAUGAGUGUGGGAAGGAUUUUACCCGUUCUGGCAACUUAAAAACACACCAAUUCAUCCACAGUGGAGUUAAACCGUACAGCUGUGAUCAGUGUGGUAAAGCCUUUAAUCACGGAAGCCACUUACGACGUCAUCAAUUUACUCACUCUGGAAUGAAAGCGUACAGCUGUAAGUUGUGUGGUAAAGCUUUUUCUGACAAUGGAAGCUUACGGAGUCAUCUAGUUACCCACUCUGGAGUUAAAGCAUACAGCUGUGAGCAGUGUGGUAAAGCUUUUGCUCAUAGUAAAAGCUUAAAGAGUCAUCUAGUUACCCACUCUGGAGUUAAGGCAUACAGCUGUCAUCAGUGUGGUAAAGCUUUUGCUUGCAGUAGGUACUUACAGAGUCAUCUAGUUACGCACUCUGGAAUUAAGGCGUACAGCUGUGACAUUUGUGGAAAAACCUUCCGCUGGCUACUCAGCCGUAAUAUUCACCAACGCAUUCACACCAAAAAGGAUUUUUGCUUCUGUGAUCAGUGUGGCAAAACUUUUGUGGCAUACAAAUAUUUACAGCAGCACAUGUUUAUCCACACUGAGGAGAGACCUUAUAAAUGUGACCUGUGUGAGAAGACUUUUAAAGAUCCACGUUCCCUGAGACAACAUCAACAGAUUCACACCAGAAAGAAACUCUACAAGUGCAGUUACUGUGAGAAACAGAGUGGCACAGAUGGAUCCACUUCUCAACCCUGUCGUCACUGUGGUGGUGGGAAAGCGUUUCGUUGUGACCUUUGUGGAAAAACUUUCAAUCAUCCAGAUAGCCUAAAACUACAUCAACGUAGACACACUGGAGACAACAUGAAUUACUGCAAAGAGUGUGGGAAAGGCUUCCCCACAUCAAGUGAAUUAAAAAAACAUCAUCUUUAUCACAGUGGCGUUAAAAAGCACAUCUGUGACCAGUGUGGUUCAUCUUUCACCACUGCAAAUCAGCUUAAAGAGCAUAAAAGAGUCCACACAGGAGAGAAACCAUACAAGUGCAGACACUGUGACAAAAGCUUCUCACUUUCAGGCCAUCGUAAUGUUCAUGAACAUACACACAUUGAAGGGAACUUCAGCUGUGACCAGUGUGACAAGACCUUCAAGAAUCUCAGUUCAUACUCUGCACACAAACGAUCCCACGCUGCAAAUAAACUGUUUCACUGUUACCAAUGUGCAAAAACGUUCACUUCAUUAUCUUCUCUGUGCAAACAUCAGCAUGAUCAUGCAUGACUGAAAUCACUGGAUAACAAUGAAUCUGAAGAAAAAGAAAGAUCCCCUUCAGGUUUCAGGGUCAGACUUAAAAACCUUGAGAUCAGGCUCCACAGAGUUCAGCUGGAAUCUCCUAUAAAAAGUGUGUCAGCUGAUGUCACACUUGGAUCUGAGGAGGUAGCUCUGAUUUGGACCUGCAGUGAAUAAUCCUGAAUCUUAAAUUUAGAAGUUGCAAUUAUGGAUAUAUAGAUCAACUUAAUUUUUCUUUGAUAAAUGUUGAUGCUCUGUUUUAAAAACCUACCUUGUUUUAUUGUAAUUUUAUGUGUUAUCUUGUCAAACUUUAAUCUUAAAUCCCUUUCUCCCAAAACCGCAAAUAAUGUCACACUAGUUGCUCUUACAGCACCCAAUACAAACUAAAUUGUCAACCAGCUUUGAAACAAAAGCUGCUUUGACUUAAUGUCCAGAAAAAAGAAUCUCAAGCUAAACUGGCAUUGGGAUGUACUGCCAUGUAGUACCAGUUUGUACCAGAAGAUUGAGCAGUGAGUGUAAUCUUUAUUUAAUCAGGCAAAGAACACAUUCUUAUUCACAGUGGCAGCAAAGAAUUGUUAAGGUUAGCUGAUGUGCAGCACAUAUCAGGACCAUUGAAACGAUCACAAAGACUACUUUUACUUAAUUCAAAUUCUAACAAACCUCUGCUUUUGGGUCCUCCUUUCACUUUAGUGUAUUUACUGUAUCCUUUAAAUCCACGUGUUGUUUAGUGAAUGCAUUUUGAGCUGCAUGUUUUGCAGCUGUUUUCUUGUUGGGUUUAAAUUUGUAUUGUGAAACAGUGAUACUGUUAAAGCAUUAGUUAUAUUUGAUUA